GACGAACGCUGGCGGCGUGCUUAACACAUGCAAGUCGAACGGUGAAGCGCCUUCCUUUUUGGUGGGUGUGGAUGAGUGGCGAACGGGUGAGUAACACGUGAGUAACCUGCCCCCUUCUUCUGGAUAACCGCAUGAAAGUGUGGCUAAUACGGGAUAUUCUGGGUCUGUCGCAUGAUGGGUCUGGGAAAGAUAUUGUUUCGGUGGGGGAUGGGCUCGCGGCCUAUCAGCUUGUUGGUGGGGUGAUGGCCUACCAAGGCGGUGACGGGUAGCCGGCCUGAGAGGGUGGACGGUCACACUGGGACUGAGACACGGCCCAGACUCCUACGGGAGGCAGCAGUGGGGAAUAUUGCACAAUGGGCGCAAGCCUGAUGCAGCGACGCCGCGUGAGGAAUGGAGGCCUUCGGGUUGUGAACCUCUUUCGCCAGUGAAGCAGGCCUGCCUCGUUUGUGGGUGGGUUGACGGUAGCUGGAUAAGAAGCGCCGGCUAACUACGUG
Molecule: ribosomal RNA, 494 nt
Filed under: uncultured bacterium
Lineage: Bacteria
Description: partial 16S ribosomal RNA
Rfam family: Bacterial small subunit ribosomal RNA
Source: RNAcentral